Molecule: transfer RNA, 73 nt
Filed under: Gemmatimonadota bacterium
Lineage: Bacteria; Pseudomonadati; Gemmatimonadota
Also listed under: 4 other names
Description: Gemmatimonadetes bacterium tRNA-Ala
Rfam family: tRNA
About the family: Transfer RNA (tRNA) molecules are approximately 80 nucleotides in length. Their secondary structure includes four short double-helical elements and three loops (D, anti-codon, and T loops).
Source: RNAcentral
GGGGCCAUAGCUCAGUUGGGAGAGCGCCUGCUUUGCAAGCAGGAGGUCGCCAGUUCGAUCCUGGCUGGCUCCA